This 305-nucleotide long non-coding RNA is filed under the name Ananas comosus (pineapple). RNAcentral describes it as "long non-coding RNA (ACOM_LNC037246)". Lineage: Eukaryota; Viridiplantae; Streptophyta; Magnoliopsida; Poales; Bromeliaceae. The record is from RNAcentral.
UAAGCUGAAUUUUUUGGCUCGUUUAUUAAACGAGCCGAACACGAGCUGGGGUCAGCUCGCUCAUGUUCAGCUCGAUAACAGCUCGAAUACAUAUAUUUUAUAUUUAUAUAAUUUAUUUAAUUUAUAUUUUUAUAUAUAAAUAAAUAAUUAUAUAUAUAAUAUAUAUUUUUAUUAUUUAGUUUUUAUAAAAUAAAAAUAUAAAUGUGAGCUUAAUUAUAAAAAAAAACUCAUUUAUAUGUAAAGUUUCAACUAUUAGAUUAAAGUCUAAUGGAUAAAAUUUUAUAAAUUUAUUUUUUAUAUAUAUU